Molecule: ribosomal RNA, 402 nt
Filed under: bacterium
Lineage: Bacteria
Description: partial 16S ribosomal RNA
Rfam family: Bacterial small subunit ribosomal RNA
Source: RNAcentral
UGGGGAAUUUUGCACAAUGGGGGAAACCCUGAUGCAGCGACGCCGCGUGAUUUAGAAGGCCUUCGGGUUGUAAAAAUCUUUUCUAUGGGAAGAAAAUGACAGUACCAUAGGAAUAAGGACCGGCUAAUUACGUGCCAGCAGCCGCGGUAAUACGUAAGGUCCGAGCGUUGUCCGGAAUCAUUGGGCGUAAAGGGUACGUAGGCGGGUAAGCAAGUUAGAAGUGAAAUCCUAUAGCUCAACUAUAGUAAGCUUUUAUAACUGCUCAUCUUGAGGUAUGGAAGGGAAAGUGGAAUUCCUAGUGUAGCGGUGAAAUGCGCAGAUAUUAGGAGGAAUACCGGUGGCGAAGGCGACUUUCUGGCCAUAACCUGACGCUGAGGUACGAAAGCGUGGGUAGCAAACAGG